RNAcentral lists this ribosomal RNA (254 nucleotides) under uncultured bacterium. RNAcentral's name for it is "partial 16S ribosomal RNA". It matches the Rfam family "Bacterial small subunit ribosomal RNA", at positions 524 to 776 of the family's 1533-position model. The record is from RNAcentral.
UACGUAGGGGCCUAGCGUUGUCCGGAUUUAUUGGGCGUAAAGAGCUCGUAGGCGGUUCGGUAAGUCAGGUGUGAAAACUCCACGCUCAACGUGGAGGCGCCACCUGAAACUGCCGUGACUCGAGUCCGGUAGGGGAGUGUGGAAUUCCCGGUGUAGCGGUGAAAUGCGCAGAUAUUGGGAGGAACACCUGCGGCGAAGGCGGCUACCUGGACAGAAACUGACGCUGAGGCGCGAAAGCUAGGGGAGCGAACGGG